Long non-coding RNA from Toxorhynchites rutilus septentrionalis, 440 nucleotides. RefSeq lists it as uncharacterized. The record is from RefSeq and is a predicted model, not a curated record. Lineage: Eukaryota; Metazoa; Arthropoda; Insecta; Diptera; Culicidae. The transcript is spliced from 3 exons.
GCCCUAAGCUUCUGCUAUAAUCACAAUAAAACUACACGAAUUGAGCGAUUCGCCAUCACAGCAGCCUAUUUUCUCACACUGGACUGUCACUCAUAUAAAUAAAAGCGAGAGAAGUGAACGGAGUAAACAAUUUUCUUGAGCAACUGACACUGAUGUGAGGGAUGCGAAACAAUGGACAGACUUUAAGGAUAACAGUACCAACGACUGCUGCAAUGUACUAUCCACGCACUAGGAGGGAAGUUCCAGUUAUGUGUGUUGAAAACCGGCGAUUAAACAGUAUGUCGCAGUUGUGGAAGAACGUCUGAUACCAUGCAUUCAAGGGUCCAUCGCAACAGUUACCGAUCCUCAAAUUGGCACCUCCUUCAUCGGCAGCUGGUAUUGGACCCGUAUUUACAUUUAACGAUUGCAUCGAACACAUCAAUCGGUGAUGCUAUCAACAU